AUUGAACGCUGGCGGCAUGCCUUACACAUGCAAGUCGAACGGUAACGGGCCUUCGGGUGCCGACGAGUGGCGAACGGGUGAGUAAUACAUCGGAACGUGCCCGAUCGUGGGGGAUAACGAGGCGAAAGCUUUGCUAAUACCGCAUACGAUCUACGGAUGAAAGCAGGGGACCGCAAGGCCUUGCGCAGACGGAGCGGCCGAUGGCAGAUUAGGCAGUUGGUGGGAUAAAAGCUUACCAAGCCGACGAUCUGUAGCUGGUCUGAGAGGAUGAUCAGCCACACUGGGACUGAGACACGGCCCAGACUCCUACGGGAGGCAGCAGUGGGGAAUUUUGGACAAUGGGCGCAAGCCUGAUCCAGCCAUGCCGCGUGCAGGAUGAAGGCCUUCGGGUUGUAAACUGCUUUUGUACGGAACGAAAAGCCUUCUUUUAAUACAGGAGGGUCAUGACGGUACCGUAAGAAUAAGCACCGGCUAACUACGUG
Molecule: ribosomal RNA, 482 nt
Filed under: uncultured bacterium
Lineage: Bacteria
Description: partial 16S ribosomal RNA
Rfam family: Bacterial small subunit ribosomal RNA
Source: RNAcentral